Molecule: ribosomal RNA, 909 nt
Filed under: uncultured marine bacterium
Lineage: Bacteria
Description: bacterial SSU rRNA
Rfam family: Bacterial small subunit ribosomal RNA
Source: RNAcentral
AGAGUUUGAUCCUGGCUCAGGACGAACGCUGGCGGUGCGCCUUAUGCAUGCAAGUCGAGCGAAGCUUUUCAGUAGUUUACUACAGAAAAUGACUGAGCGGCGAACGGGUGAGUAACGCGUGAGCAAUCUACCUUAGUUACAGGGAUAGCCCGAGGAAACUCGGAUUAAUACCUGAUAUUCUUUACAUUUCGCAUGAAAUCAAAAGGAAAGGUCAGCCGAACUAAGAUGAGCUCGCGUUCUAUCAGCUAGUUGGUGAGGUAAAAGCUCACCAAGGCAACGACGGAUAGCUGGUCUGAGAGGACGAUCAGCCACACUGGGACUGAGACACGGCCCAGACUCCUACGGGAGGCUGCAGCAGGGAAUAUUGCGCAAUGAGCGAAAGCUUGACGCAGCGACACCGCGUGUGGGAUGACGGAUCUAGGUUUGUAAACCACUUUCAGGAGGGAAGAAAAUGACGGUACCUCCACAAGAAGCCCCGGCCAACUACGUGCCAGCAGCCGCGGUAAUACGUAGGGGGCGAGCGUUGUCCGGAUUUAUUGGGCGUAAAGAGCUCGUAGGCGGUUCAACAAGUCGGUCGUAAAAGUUCAGGGCUCAACCCUGAAAUGUCGAUCGAUACUGUUGUGACUAGGAUACGGUAGAGGUGAGUGGAAUUCCGAGUGUAGCGGUGAAAUGCGUAGAUAUUCGGAGGAACACCAAUUGCGAAGGCAGCUCACUGGGCCGCUAUCGACGCUGAGGAGCGAAAGCUAGGGGAGCAAACAGGAUUAGAUACCCUGGUAGUCCUAGCUGUAAACGAUGGAUACUAGACGUAGGAACUGGAUUGACGGUUUCUGUGUCGUAGCUAACGCGUUAAGUAUCCCGCCUGGGGGAGUACGGUCGCAAGACUAAAACUCAAGGAAUUGACGGAAUCCA